This 279-nucleotide ribosomal RNA is filed under the name uncultured bacterium. RNAcentral's name for it is "partial 16S ribosomal RNA". It matches the Rfam family "Bacterial small subunit ribosomal RNA", at positions 506 to 784 of the family's 1533-position model. The record is from RNAcentral.
UGCCAGCAGCCGCGGUAACACGUAGGUGGCAAGCGUUAUCCGGAAUUACUGGGCGUAAAGGGCACGCAGGCGGCCUAUUAAGUCUGACGUGAAAGCUCCUGGCUUAACUGGGAGAGGUCGUUGGAAACUGAGAGGCUUGAGGUAGUGAGAGGGGUGCGGAAUUCCGGGUGUAGUGGUGGAAUGCUUAGAUAUCCGGGGGAACACCAGUGGCGAAAGCGGCACCCUGGCAUUGACCUGACGCUGAUGUGCGAAAGCGUGGGUAGCGAACGGGAUUAGAUA